RNAcentral lists this small nucleolar RNA (86 nucleotides) under Sphenodon punctatus (tuatara). RNAcentral describes it as "Small nucleolar RNA SNORD103/SNORD85 (ENSSPUG00000016584.1)". It matches the Rfam family "Small nucleolar RNA SNORD103/SNORD85". From Rfam's summary of the family: This family includes the snoRNAs SNORD103 (U103) and SNORD85 (HBII-251) . The record is from Rfam by way of RNAcentral. Lineage: Eukaryota; Metazoa; Chordata; Lepidosauria; Sphenodontia; Sphenodontidae.
ACUGGCAAUGAUGACACACUUGCCCUCACUGAGAACACAGUUCGAUAAUGAGAACCCUGUUAUGUACUCACAAAUGCUGAGCCAGA